Gossypium raimondii (Peruvian cotton) is the source of this 589-nucleotide long non-coding RNA. RefSeq lists it as uncharacterized. NCBI's taxonomy places the organism in Eukaryota, Viridiplantae, Streptophyta, Magnoliopsida, Malvales, Malvaceae. The transcript has 2 exons. The record is from RefSeq and is a predicted model, not a curated record.
UCCAAUAAUAAUGCAAAAAUCCGGAUCCAUGUUGUAAUUCGUUACUAAUAUCUCUAAGAAAACCCCUAAAAAACAUGGUAAUGAUCAAAAUAAAAGGAAUAUGAAGUUACUGAACUGCCCCUUUAGGAAAAAAAUACUUGUACUUUUAGUGCAAGUAGUCAGCAGGCGGCGAUUCCAAGAAAAGAAGGACGAUGAACCAAAAAUUUGGAGCUGCAAAACAGCCGACGGGGACUCCAUCUCUCGCCUGGUCGUGCGUCGUCGUCAUCGCUUCACUCCUCGCCGGCGCCUCCGUCGUCCACAAUAUCUACAAGCCUGAUCUCACUCUACCACCAGUUGAAGAUGCGGAUGAGGCUAAGAAGAAACAAGCUGCUAAUGCUAGAGAAUGAGUAAUUGCUUUUCGCUGUUGUUUCAAAGGGCAUUGAUUUUUUUCUCUAUUGCUUUCUGUCCUUUCCAUUUAUAGUACUUGCCCGCUUCCUUUGGCUUUCAUUGCUUCUAGAUAUUUGGACACUCAUGAAUUGUUCGACGAAAUGUCCCAAACAAUAUUGAAUUCUUGAAACUUGAAAUGGCUAACCAGUGACUCCUUAUAGUA